AGCAAAGACCAAUCUUGUUUGCAGUGGAGACCGGCAAUCUUAUACCGAGAAAUACGGGCCAUGGGGUGACCAUCAUGUGUGUUCAAGGAAUCAUCUCACAGAAGUGUGGAGAAACUCUGUUCAUAGACCCCAUUACAGAGGACUGCAUUUUCCUUCUGAAGCCUGUCACCAGUACCAGGUUUCAUGAAGCAAGACAAGAGCAUGCCAGCACAGACAGAAUAUUAAAGGAAGCCUCUCCUGCCUGGUGUGUCUGUGCAGCCCAUGCCUGUGUGUAGGCACGAAGGGCUCCCAGGGAACUGUUGGCUCCAAGCACCAAGCAAGGGGGAAAAUUUCAAUAAAAGCAACAUGUGGCAUUUAGCUUAUUGCUUUACCUCA
Molecule: long non-coding RNA, 375 nt
Organism: Parus major (Great Tit)
Lineage: Eukaryota; Metazoa; Chordata; Aves; Passeriformes; Paridae
Exons: 2
Source: RefSeq, a predicted model, not a curated record